AAUCACUGCUGGAUCUUGGACAGACACAUCUCUCAUUGAGUCCACACAAGGCAAACAAUUUAGAGGUGCAGGACCCACAGGCAGGCAACAAAGUCAGGGGCAACCCUACUCCAGUUGUUUGGGGACCAUCAUAACACCAAGUUCCACAUUUGCUAUGUGUGUGGUGGGGGAGUCUACGUACAGCCCUUAUAUGUUCUGUGGUUAGUGGUUUAUGGUUUGUGCAUAACCAAGAGGCUAUGACAUUUUUAACACCAUUUUCCCUUCCCUUCUCAUACAGCCCUUGUUCUCAUUAUAGUCUCUUUUUUAUUAAUUGCUGUUAUAAAAGGAACACAGAGUAAGAAAAAUACUCUUCCCCGUGAAGACAAUACCAAAUGGCUGCCUACUACCAAAUGCUCUGCUUUAAAGACAAAUGUACAAUAACUCUAUAUAGUAUUAACAUUAUAUUUUUAUAUUUAGGGGUAUAUAAACUAUGUAGAAUGCUGAGAUUAUUAAAUUAAGAUAUUUAUAAAACAUAAAAAUAUGUGAAAUAAAGAUAUAUGUAUGUGAAAUAUAUUUUUUAAAUCACAUAUGUGUUCUGAAGAAAAAAUGUUUCAGAUCAACUUGCCUUUUGGUCAUAAAAGUCAACUUGAACUUUGGUUUGUGUAUUAGUCACUGUACUACUGUUCUGGAGAGACACUAUGAACAAGUGAAAUCUUAGAAAAAAAAAGAAAGAAAAUAUUUAGUCAGGGACUUAUUUAGAGUUUCAGAGGGAGUCAAUGAGCAUGGGAGCAUACAGGCAGGCAUGGUGCUGGAUAAGAAGCAGCUGAGAGUUGAGAAGAGAGGAGAGGAGAGACAGAGAGAGAGAGACAGAGAGAGAGAGAGAGAGAGAGAGAGAGAGAGAGAGAGAAUGGGCUUUUGAAAUGUCAAAGCUCAUCCCCAAUGAUACACUUCCUCCAAGAAGGCCACAGUUCCUUAUUUAUCUCAAACAGAUCCACUUACUGGGAUCCAAGCAUUUAAACAUAUUAGCUUAUGAGUGCCAUGCUCACUCAAUCUAUUACACCCUGUGUAACAUAAAUUAAAAUAAUCCUGCUCACUAUUGAGUUAAAAAGGAGAAGUAUAAAGUUUAAGCUUUAUUAUGGACUAUAUUUUUCCUUUUCAUGAAACUCUCCAGAGCUGAGGGCUACUAAAAUUUUCCAUUUUUUCCUUUUAGAUUCUGAAUUUCUGAGUAUUUAAAGUUUCUCUAGUGUUGUGUUUAUGCAAAAGAAACAUUAUUGCAAUAUAAUUUUCUUUUCCUAACAAGAACAAACCACGUGAACAUUUGUGUUUCUAGUUCUUCCCUUUCUUGACAACAUGGAAUAACUUCUUACCCACCACUGUUUGAAAACAUAAAAGACAACUGUGGACUUUAGUGAACUCUUCAGAAAUACAUGAGAGAAAAGUUAGAGGGUCAUGCUUUGGAACAGGAUCCAAAAGCUGAGUGGCUUCAAUCCAUUUUCUUCUGUAUCACCACGGGGCUUGAAGUUUUGCAAAGGGAAAAUGUCAAGUUGGCAUCGGAGUAGCUCAUUAGCUGUUCAUUUCUGCUUUCCUUGCACUGCUUUGUUAACUGCCCAUCAAAAUUCAGUGUGUAGCUGUAGGCCUGUUGCAAGCAAUCUGCAAAGAGAUCACUCACAAGCAUGCAUUACUUAUGGAUCACUUGAAAGUAUGAAGGAUUUAGCAAGGACAGAAAAAUGCAUUUAGCAUCUAUUGGUGACUUAUUUUAAAAUUAGAAAGUAAAUCACUUUUUUUUUCCUGUAUGCUAUGAAACAGAGGACAUUGUUUUCCUGGUAGAAUAUUGAGAAAAUCAGACAAAACUAACAACUUUGGUUCUAAUUUACAUUUAAUGUAUCAGUAUACAUUCAAUUUUUCAAAAUAUAAUUUUCUUUAUAUAAACUUAAAUAUUAAACAUACCUAUGCUACAUAUGUAGGAAUUUAUUUUGAGUUCUUGAGUAGAUUUUACCUCUAGAAGAUUUAUUCUUACAUUUAAAAAUUAUGUAUACAUAAUUAUCAAUUGCCUCUUCCCUUCCCAUGCUAUAUGUAUUAUAUCUUUUAAAAGAAUUAGGUCAAGCCUCUGAAAAAGUAAUAUCUAAUAUUUAGUUUUGAAGGAGAAAUGCUUAACUUUUUUAUAUAAAUUGCAAAUGGUCAGCUAUUCCUAUUUUGCUGUGAAAGAGAAAAUUAUAUUUUCCCAGAAGUAUUAAAUAAAAUAUAAAAUAUAUUUGUUACCUUGAAUAUCUCUUAUAAAUUUUGAAUUGGCCACACUUUGGAUUCAUGGAGAAGCUGGAGUCAGCGAUCUUUACGUGUGUCAUCUUAAGUGAAUGAUACCCACAUUUCCAGGAACUUCAAGAAAUUUUACUGUCCUUCUUAUUAAUGCUAAAUCUCUAGUUGAAAUGAGUCAGGGACAGCUGCUUCACAUCACAAGCACAUCUGAAGAGGCUGGAUGCUUGCCUGUGGGAUUCUUAAGAAAAGAGAAAAAAAGUUCAAUGAAAAUUAACACCUUAUUCUCCAUUUGAAUGGCAAUAAACAAUAAUUAUUAAUGUGGAACAUUUCAGAAUGCAAAGAUAUAUUAGUUUCUCCUUUUAAUUCACUUUUCACAUUUGGAUUAUGUUUUUACCUUUCCCUAAUUAAAGUACUCCUAGAACUUUGCCACCUGCCUACCUAUUAAACUUCAUGCUCUCACUCUUUCUAUCUGAACACACACACACACAUUAAUAAAAUCUCAGCAAACUGAAGCCAAUGAGACAAAAAUAUCUGAAAUAAAUUAAAAUGC
Molecule: long non-coding RNA, 2782 nt
Filed under: Mus musculus (house mouse)
Lineage: Eukaryota; Metazoa; Chordata; Mammalia; Rodentia; Muridae
Description: long non-coding RNA chr2:55467777-55470559
Source: RNAcentral